RNAcentral lists this ribosomal RNA (253 nucleotides) under uncultured bacterium. RNAcentral's name for it is "partial 16S ribosomal RNA". It matches the Rfam family "Bacterial small subunit ribosomal RNA", at positions 524 to 776 of the family's 1533-position model. The record is from RNAcentral.
UACGUAGGGGGCAAGCGUUAUCCGGAUUUACUGGGUGUAAAGGGAGCGUAGACGGCAGGGCAAGUCUGGAGUGAAAGGCAGGGGCCCAACCCCUGGACUGCUCUGGAAACUGUCCGGCUGGAGUGCAGGAGAGGUAAGUGGAAUUCCUAGUGUAGCGGUGAAAUGCGUAGAUAUAUGGAGGAACACCGGUGGCGAAAGCGGCUCUCUGGCCUGUAACUGACACUGAGGCUCGAAAGCGUGGGGAGCAAACAGG